AUUUUUAUCAUAUUGUUUAUAUUAUAUUUUUUUAUAUUUAUAAGUAUACAUUAGAAAAGCGGAUUUGGUUGAGUGGUAAGAGCUUCAGCUUGUAAUGCCUAGGUCCCAAGUUUGAUUCUUGGUGCCUACAUUUAUAGUUUUUGUUGGUUUUUUUUUCUUCUCUUCAUUUUUCCAUUUUUCUAAUAAAAUUAAUACUAUAUAUUAAUGGAUGCAAUUGACAUUCCGCUAGGUCAUGGGUUCGACCCUUGUACAACUCAUUAUCUAUUUAUUUCAUUAUUUUUUUGUACUGUUUCAUUUUUAUGUUAUUUUUUAUUUUUAAUCC
RNAcentral lists this long non-coding RNA (322 nucleotides) under Lathyrus oleraceus (garden pea). RNAcentral describes it as "Pisum sativum (pea) long non-coding RNA (PSAT_LNC031407)". Lineage: Eukaryota; Viridiplantae; Streptophyta; Magnoliopsida; Fabales; Fabaceae. The record is from RNAcentral.